UACGUAGGGAGCAAGCGUUGUUCGGAUUUACUGGGCGUAAAGGGCGCGUAGGCGGCGCGGUAAGUCACUUGUGAAAUCUCUGAGCUUAACUCAGAACGGCCAAGUGAUACUGCAGUGCUAGAGUGCAGAAGGGGCAAUCGGAAUUCUUGGUGUAGCGGUGAAAUGCGUAGAUAUUGGGAAGAACACCAGUGGCGAAGGCGGCUCACUGGCUCGUAACUGACGCUCAGGCGCGACAGCGUGGGGAUCAAACAGG
This 253-nucleotide ribosomal RNA is filed under the name uncultured bacterium. RNAcentral's name for it is "partial 16S ribosomal RNA". It matches the Rfam family "Bacterial small subunit ribosomal RNA", at positions 524 to 776 of the family's 1533-position model. The record is from RNAcentral.